This 482-nucleotide ribosomal RNA is filed under the name uncultured bacterium. Its description in RNAcentral is "partial 16S ribosomal RNA". It matches the Rfam family "Bacterial small subunit ribosomal RNA", at positions 30 to 507 of the family's 1533-position model. The record is from RNAcentral.
AUUGAACGCUGGCGGCAUGCUUUACACAUGCAAGUCGAACGGCAGCGCGGGGCAACCUGGCGGCGAGUGGCGAACGGGUGAGUAAUACAUCGGAAAGUACCCAGAAGUGGGGGAUAACGUAGUGAAAGUUACGCUAAUACCGCAUACGUUCUACGGAAGAAAGUGGGGGACCUUCGGGCCUCAUGCUUUUGGAGCGGACGGUGUCUGAUUAGAGAGUUGGUGAGGUAAAGGCUCACCAAGGCGACGAUCAGUAGCUGGUCUGAGAGGACGACCAGCCACACUGGGACUGAGACACGGCCCAUACUCCUACGGGAGGCAGCAGUGGGGAAUUUUGGACAAUGGGCGCAAGCCUGAUCCAGCAAUGCCGCGUGAGUGAAGAAGGCCUUCGGGUUGUAAAGCUCUUUUGUCAGGGAAGAAACGGCUGAGGAUAAUACCUUCGGCUAAUGACGGUACCUGAAGAAUAAGCACCGGCUAACUACGUG